RNAcentral lists this transfer RNA (74 nucleotides) under Halobacteriales archaeon. RNAcentral describes it as "tRNA-Phe". It matches the Rfam family "tRNA". From Rfam's summary of the family: Transfer RNA (tRNA) molecules are approximately 80 nucleotides in length. Their secondary structure includes four short double-helical elements and three loops (D, anti-codon, and T loops). The record is from RNAcentral. RNAcentral also lists the same sequence under 1 other name. Lineage: Archaea; Methanobacteriati; Methanobacteriota; Halobacteria; Halobacteriales.
GCCGCCUUAGCUCAGCCUGGGAGAGCGCUCGACUGAAGAUCGAGUUGUCCCCCGUUCAAAUCGGGGAGGCGGCA